UAGGGAAUCUUCCACAAUGGGACGAAAGUCUGAUGGAGCAACGCCGCGUGAGUGAAGAAGGGUUUCGGCUCGUAAAACUCUGUUGUUAAAGAAGAACAUAUCUGAGAGUAACUGUUCAGGUAUUGACGGUAUUUAACCAGAAAGCCACGGCUAACUACGUGCCUG
Molecule: ribosomal RNA, 165 nt
Filed under: uncultured bacterium
Lineage: Bacteria
Description: partial 16S rRNA
Rfam family: Bacterial small subunit ribosomal RNA
Source: RNAcentral